This 239-nucleotide ribosomal RNA is filed under the name uncultured Lactobacillus sp. Its description in RNAcentral is "partial 16S ribosomal RNA". It matches the Rfam family "Bacterial small subunit ribosomal RNA", at positions 125 to 355 of the family's 1533-position model. The record is from RNAcentral. Lineage: Bacteria; Bacillati; Bacillota; Bacilli; Lactobacillales; Lactobacillaceae.
CCGUGCCCAAGAGAUCGGGAUAACACCUGGAAACAGAUGCUAAUACCGGAUAACAACAGAUGAUGCCUAUCAACUGUUUAAAAGAUGGUUCUGCUAUCACUCUUGGAUGGACCUGCGGUGCAUUAGCUAGUUGGUAGGGUAACGGCCUGCCAAGGCGAUGAUGCAUAGCCGAGUUGAGAGACUGAUCGGCCACAUUGGGACUGAGACGACGGCCCAAACUCCUACGGGAGGCAGCAGCC